UGUUGCCUUCGGCGCAUGCCGGAAACGCGUAUUGUAGGGGGUGGAGUCAGAGCUGUUGGCGCGCACAGUGAAAUGGAGCUGCUGGGAGUAGUGAGUGUUGGCGUGUGUACGGGGCAGAUAUAGGGAGAUGUACGUGAGGGCGGAGCAGUCACUAAUUCUUCAGCGCCUCAACUCUGAGGAACCGAGUGUGGGAAUGAGGCGCAGCUGUGACCAGGGGCAGACUCACAAUGAUUGCGCUCCGCUACUGUCCCACAUUCCCCUUCAUUGUACAAUUCCCACGCUGCUCACUCGUGGGUCACAUUGUGUAACUCACAUCUACUUCCGGGUUGUGACCCGCGCCGGCUCCUGUAGCGGGACUGUCACGUGUCCCAUUGGUGCGUCUGUGUCACGUUCCCGGCACACACAGACCCACCGACCUGCAGCAGGACUGAGACUCCCGCCCACUUCAUGAUCAUGUGAUACGUCUGACUGAGAAGUGAGCUGCAUGCUGAUUGGUCAGUUAUGGGAUUCCCAUCUAUUCCCAGGGACUGACCCCUGACCGCUCCUGUAGCCGACAUGCCCAGAGCGACCCCUGAAUGUGGGUCAGAUUCAUAUCAGUGGAGUGUCGGCAUGAGUGUUCCCGGCACACACAGGCCCACCGACCUGCAGCAGGACUGAGACUCCCGUCCACUUCAUGAUCAUGUGAUACGUCUGACUGAGAAGUGAGCUGCAUGCUGAUUGGUCAGUUAUGGGAUUCCCAUCUAUUCCCAGGGACUGACCCCUGACAGCUCCUGUAGCCGACAUGCCCAGAGCGACCCCUGAAUGUGGGUCAGAUUCAUAUCAGUGGAGUGUCGGCAUGAGUAUGAGCUGAUUUGCAUAAAGAUAUCCAGACCAACUGCAUGUCUGUAUUACAUGAGCAACACAGCUGAGCUACGGGCCCCUGAUCAACUGGCGCGUCUCUGAAUGUCCUGCCGUCAGCGCUGGCCGAAUUCUGCAACAAGAACUGACAGUUGGACAGAAUCCAAUGACCACUGAGCCCUGGGGCAGAAAGGCGGUGGCACCCAGACCAUGUGUUGCUCCUAUACUGACGCCUAUAGAAUAAAGGGAACCAUUACUGAGUGUUCUGAUUGUCCCAAUGUCCUGCCACUCAUGGGCAGGGGGUGUAACUGGUCCACCUGCAUCGCUAUAUAGAAUAUAUGUAUAGAAUUAUGGAAUAGAGAUAUAGAAGAUUCGUACAUACAACAUGUGAUUGACAUUCUCUCUCCAGUCAUGUCAUGAGUGAGAGACGGUCCAAUCACAGCAGAACCAACUCAUUACCUGCUCCAUGUGACUUACACUGAAUGAUUUAUAUGUCCAGCCCCAGGGGCCCUAGAGCAGCAGUGAAGGGGUCGGUUGUGCAGCUGGAAGGCCAGUCAGGGGACAUGUGGGAAGAUGACUGUGUCCUAUUGGUUCUAUCCUGGAUGCACAGUGGGGUGUAGGUAACCAAUCACAGCUUGUCCUUGUCAUUCCACCUGGCUGCUGAUUGGCUGAUAACUGGCAAGAGACACCAGAACAUCAGGGAGAGGGGUGGGUGCUGUCUGGAAGUUUUGUGUGUUAAUAUUUAUUAUAAUAUGACUUAGGAUUUUCAUCCAUCCAGGUCAUGGUAUAUCUAAUAGAAGUAAUUCAAAAAUAAACAAGUGGACUUGCUGAGUAAUCAAUGAAGACGUUUCACAUCCGAGCAGCUUCUUCAGUACAACUGACUGGUGUGGGAAGUUCUCAUUCCCUAAAGCUGUUUUAUGUCUCUCACUAUUAGUCUUUUAUUCUCUGUGUCUCUAACUUUCAGUGUGAGGGAGGAGUGUGUGAGAUUCAUAGGGACCUAUAGGAACGUGACUUCAUUCAGCCACUAGUACCUUCUUUCCUUGUUGUUAAACCCCAUGUAAUCAUUUCUACUUAUUUCACAUUCUCAGCUCCUGCCUCACUGUAACAUAGUGACAUCGAUUUAUAGACUAGAAAUGGAUUUCAGUGCAGAAUUCUGCUGGAGCAGCUCUAUUAUUAACUGAGAAAACAUGUUUCCCACGACAGUGUCCCUUUAAUCAAAAGGCAACUCCCCCAAAAGCCCCUUUUUUGCAUAAUGAGAUAAAAUGUAAUUCUAGGAUAUAUAUA
Long non-coding RNA from Xenopus laevis (African clawed frog), 2121 nucleotides. RefSeq lists it as uncharacterized. Lineage: Eukaryota; Metazoa; Chordata; Amphibia; Anura; Pipidae. The record is from RefSeq and is a predicted model, not a curated record. The transcript is spliced from 4 exons.